CCACACUUAUCUCAAAUGGUAAAGAAUUUGCCUGCGAAGCAGGAGACCAGGGUUCGAUCCUGGGUGAGGA
Molecule: transfer RNA, 70 nt
Filed under: Bos indicus x Bos taurus (hybrid cattle)
Lineage: Eukaryota; Metazoa; Chordata; Mammalia; Artiodactyla; Bovidae
Rfam family: tRNA
About the family: Transfer RNA (tRNA) molecules are approximately 80 nucleotides in length. Their secondary structure includes four short double-helical elements and three loops (D, anti-codon, and T loops).
Source: Rfam by way of RNAcentral